Molecule: ribosomal RNA, 117 nt
Organism: Sinocyclocheilus anshuiensis
Lineage: Eukaryota; Metazoa; Chordata; Actinopteri; Cypriniformes; Cyprinidae
Source: Ensembl
UGCCACAGCCAUAUCACCCUGCAACCCCAGACUGGUUGCCCACUGAAGCUAAGCAGGGUUGAGCCUGGUCAGUACCUGCAUGGGAGACCUCCUGGGAAAACUAGAUUGCUGUUGGAA